This 253-nucleotide ribosomal RNA is filed under the name uncultured bacterium. RNAcentral's name for it is "partial 16S ribosomal RNA". It matches the Rfam family "Bacterial small subunit ribosomal RNA", at positions 524 to 776 of the family's 1533-position model. The record is from RNAcentral.
UACGGGGGGGGCAACCGUUGCUCGGAAUUAUUGGGCGUAAAGCGCACGUAGGCGGCUUGGCAAGUCGGAUGUGAAAUCCCUCGGCUCAACCAAGGAAGUGCAUCCGAAACUGCUGAGCUUGAGUACUUAAGAGGAUCGCGGAAUUCUUGGUGUAGCGGUGAAAUGCGUAGAUAUCAAGAGGAACACCUGAGGUGAAGACGGGUUGCUGGGCCAACACUGACGCUGAGGCGCGAAAGCCAGGGGAGCAAACGGG